UGCCAGACUCCUACGGGAGGCAGCAGUGAGGAAUAUUGGUCAAUGGCCGGAAGGCUGAACCAGCCAAGCCGCGUGAAGGACGAAGGUGCCAAGCAUUGUAAACUUCUUUUGUCAAGGGACAAAAUCAGGCUCGAGAGCCUGACCGAGGGUACUUGAAGAAAAAGCAUCGGCCAACUCCGUGCCAGCAGCCGCGGUAAUACGGAGGAUCCGAGCGUUAUCCGGAUUCAUUGGGUUUAAAGGGUGCGUAGGUUGUUUUAUAAGUUAGCGGUGAAAUACCGAUGCUCAACAUCGGGGCUGCCGCUAAUACUGUAGGACUAGAGAUCGGAUGCAGCAGGCGGAAUGUGUAGUGUAGCGGUGAAAUGCAUAGAUAUUACACAGAACACCGAUUGCGAAGGCAGCUUGCUAGGCCGGAUCUGACACUGAUGCACGAAAGCGUGGGGAUCGAACAGGAUUAGAUACCCCCGUA
RNAcentral lists this ribosomal RNA (466 nucleotides) under uncultured bacterium. RNAcentral's name for it is "partial 16S ribosomal RNA". It matches the Rfam family "Bacterial small subunit ribosomal RNA", at positions 329 to 792 of the family's 1533-position model. The record is from RNAcentral.